UUUCAGAUAUACGAUAAUUUUAUUUCCAUCGGAAAAUUUUAUUCUUCUUUAAACUCCGUGGCAUACAUAUUCAAAAUAAUUUGCUCAUGAAGAGAUUCGGAGAAAGACCUUUUGGUAUAGACCUUUUGGCAGGAUUUUUCUAUAUAAAGAAAAACUUUUUGAUAAAGAGAAAGUAGGACACACAAUAGAUUUCUGACCUAGACUGUUGGUUUUUCAGAGUGAAACGGAC
This is a long non-coding RNA of Centruroides sculpturatus (bark scorpion), 229 nucleotides long. RefSeq lists it as uncharacterized. The record is from RefSeq and is a predicted model, not a curated record. Lineage: Eukaryota; Metazoa; Arthropoda; Arachnida; Scorpiones; Buthidae. The transcript is spliced from 3 exons.